AUGAAUACUAUGUGAUGGAACUGUCGUGGGCUUGGCGACCCUGCGACGGUACGAAAGUUGUGCGACCUUGCACAAGAGUGUGUGCCGAUGAUUUUAUGCGUGGUGGAAACACAAAUUGUAAAAUAUCACGUGGAAAGAUUGGCUAGUACUUUGGGGUUUGACAAAGCGUAUGGGGUUGGAAGCUCAAGGAGAAGUGGUGGUCUUUGCAUAUAUUGA
This 216-nucleotide ribosomal RNA is filed under the name Triticum aestivum (bread wheat). RNAcentral describes it as "partial small subunit ribosomal RNA". Lineage: Eukaryota; Viridiplantae; Streptophyta; Magnoliopsida; Poales; Poaceae. The record is from RNAcentral.